UGAUCACUGAGGAUAACAUGCAGCGGGUCCGAGGCAGGCAUCCUGACUGCUGCCUGCUGCUCAGGCGCGGUUCGUCUUUCCCGCUCAGCGCCCGCACCUCAGGGCCUUCCCCCCGCGGAGACUCUCCCGCACGCGCUGAUCCACGCGCCCGCCUGCCUGGCUCUUGCUGACAUGCUGUGCCCCUGUGCUUUGCUAGUCCAGGCAAGGCAGAAGCGGGAUUUGAGCAGGUGAACCUGAUAUAAGAAGCAAAAUGAAUGAGAAGCUACAUACAAAAUACCGGGUGUCCUUAUAAGGAAGCAAAGUUUCAUCCCAUGGAAAGCUUCCCUUCCACACAUGACUUCCCGGAGCUGCUUGGCUCAGCAGAUCUAUUAGCUCAUAGACCAAGGCAGAGUCGUCUUCAUCCUUCUACUUCUCACCAUGAAAGUGCUGGGGAGAUGCACAAUGCAUGAGGAAAUUGGCAGGCAGGGGCCUCCCUUCGGCACAAGAGCCAAGGAUGACAGUGGAUGUAAGACAAAGAAAUCCACAAAUCCCUCCAGCACCAGCUUCUCUUGAGAGAAAGAAUCCAUUCCAAGAAACCCUCUCCAUUCACAAACAAGGAGAGAUUAUUAUCCCACCCUCCGUCUCCCGGGUAUGGAACGGGGCUCCUCCUGACCUGUGAACCCAGGUUGGGAAUUUCUUUCUCAGGUGGUGUGGUGGUUUGGAGCUGUACAUAUCCCAGAAAAACACAUUCUUAAAUCUAACCCAUUCCUGUAAGUGUAAACCCUUUGUAAGUAGGACCUUUUGAUGAGCCUACUUUGGUUGAUGUAUGGCCCCCCUCAUUCGGAAUGGCCUUAAUCCUAUUACAAGGGUCCUUUGUAAAUGGAUUGAAUAUAGAGAAAAAAGAGAAAGACAUGGAAGCAAGAAGCUGAAAGCAAAGAAACCCAUAAGAGAAGGGAGAGAGCACAAGACGCCAUGUGCCUUGCCAUGUGUCAGAGGAGCCAUGGAUCACCGGCAGCC
Molecule: long non-coding RNA, 996 nt
Organism: Choloepus didactylus (southern two-toed sloth)
Lineage: Eukaryota; Metazoa; Chordata; Mammalia; Pilosa; Megalonychidae
Exons: 3
Source: RefSeq, a predicted model, not a curated record